RNAcentral lists this transfer RNA (75 nucleotides) under Erysipelothrix sp. Its description in RNAcentral is "tRNA-Trp". It matches the Rfam family "tRNA". Rfam says of the family: Transfer RNA (tRNA) molecules are approximately 80 nucleotides in length. Their secondary structure includes four short double-helical elements and three loops (D, anti-codon, and T loops). Lineage: Bacteria; Bacillati; Bacillota; Erysipelotrichia; Erysipelotrichales; Erysipelotrichaceae. The record is from RNAcentral.
AGGGGUAUAGUUAAAUCGUUAGAGCAACGGUCUCCAAAACCGUCAAUCCGGGUUCGAGUCCUGGUACCCCUGCCA